CUCCUACGGGAGGCAGCAGUGAGGGAUAUUGGGCAAUGGGGGAAACCUGACCCAGCAACGCCGCGUGAGGGAUGACGGUUUUCGGAUUGUAAACCUCUGUCCUCUGUGAAGAUAGUGACGGUAGCAGAGGAGGAAGCUCCGGCUAACUACGUGCCAGCAGCCGCGGUAAUACGUAGGGAGCAAGCGUUGUCCGGAUUUACUGGGUGUAAAGGGUGCGUAGGCGGAUUGGCAAGUCAGAAGUGAAAUCCAUGGGCUUAACCCAUGAACUGCUUUUGAAACUGUUAGUCUUGAGUGAAGUAGAGGUAGGCGGAAUUCCCGGUGUAGCGGUGAAAUGCGUAGAGAUCGGGAGGAACACCAGUGGCGAAGGCGGCCUACUGGGCUUUAACUGACGCUGAGGCACGAAAGUGUGGGUAGCAAACAGGAUUAGAUACCCUGGUAGUCCACACUGUAAACGAUGAUUACUAGGUGUGGGGGGUCUAACCCCCUCCGUGCCGGAGUUAACACAAUAAGUAAUCCACCUGGGGAGUACGACCGCAAGGUUGAAACUCAAAGGAAUUGACGGGGGCCCGCACAAGCAGUGGAGUAUGUGGUUUAAUUCGACGCAACGCGAAGAACCUUACCAGGUCUUGACAUCCAACUAACGAAGCAGAGAUGCAUUAGGUGCCCUUCGGGGAAAGUUGAGACAGGUGGUGCAUGGUUGUCGUCAGCUCGUGUCGUGAGAUGUUGGGUUAAGUCCCGCAACGAGCGCAACCCUUGUGAUUAGUUGCUACGCAAGAGCACUCUAAUCAGACUGCCGUUGACAAAACGGAGGAAGGUGGGGACGACGUCAAAUCAUCAUGCCCUUUAUGACUUGGGCUACACACGUACUACAAUGGUCGUUAACAGAGGGAAGCAAUACCGCGAGGUGGAGCAAAACCCUAAAAACGGUCUCAGUUCAGAUUGUAGGCUGCAACUCGCCUACAUGAAGUUGGAAUUGCUAGUAAUCGCGGAUCAGCAUGCCGCGGUGAAUACGUUCCCGGGCCUUGUACACACCGC
This 1035-nucleotide ribosomal RNA is filed under the name uncultured bacterium. RNAcentral describes it as "bacterial SSU rRNA". It matches the Rfam family "Bacterial small subunit ribosomal RNA", at positions 336 to 1393 of the family's 1533-position model. The record is from RNAcentral.